CGAGGAAUACAUGGGUAACGUACCCUGGACUUGAGGACACCCCGGAGAAAUCCGGGAUAAUACUCGAUGAGACCAUAGUGCCGCAGGGCACAGUGGUCAAAGGCGGGGAUCCCUUCGGGGACCUGUCGGUCUGGGAGCGGCCCAUGCCCUAUCAGCUUGUUGGUGAGGUAACGGCUCACCAAGGCAACGACGGGUACCGGGACUGAGAGGUUGACCCGGCGCAUCGGGACUGAGACACUGCCCGG
This 245-nucleotide ribosomal RNA is filed under the name uncultured bacterium. Its description in RNAcentral is "partial 16S ribosomal RNA". It matches the Rfam family "Bacterial small subunit ribosomal RNA", at positions 107 to 334 of the family's 1533-position model. The record is from RNAcentral.